UAUGUGAUCGUCUCUCGCAUAUCAAUAAGCGGAGGAAAAGAAACUAACAAGGAUUCCCCUAGUAACGGCGAGUGAAGCGGGAAGAGCUCAAAUUUGAAAUCUUAAAGGGUUUCCCUUUACGAAUUGUAGUUUAAAGAAGUGUUUUCUGUUGAGGUUUUGGUAAAAGUUCUUUGGAAUAGGACAUCAUAGAGGGUGAGAAUCCCGUAUUUGGACCUUUACUUUCAACUUUGUGAUACACUUUCAAAGAGUCGGAUUGUUUGGGAAUGCAGUCCAAAAUGGGUGGUAAAUUUCAUCUAAAGCUAAAUAUUGGCGAGAGACCGAUAGCGAACAAGUACCGUGAGGGAAAGAUGAAAAGAACUUUGAAAAGAGAGUUAAACAGUAUGUGAAAUUGUUAAAAGGGAAGCGUUUGACACCAGUGUUGUUUUUCUGAAAAUCAAUUAAAGAACUGUUUAUGCUAAGUUGUUUAGACUUUAUCAGCUAAUCUGCUUAGUUUUGAGCUUUUCUUUAAUGCACUUUUCAGUUAACAAGUCAACAUCAAUUUCUUUUGCUGUAAAAAAGCUUGAGGAAGGUGGCUUGAGAUUCGUCUUAAGUGUUUAUAGCCUCUUGCCUAUGCAGUCGGAGAGAUUGAGGUCUGCAGCGUAGAUCCUUCGGGGCUAAAUGCAUUUGUGCUAAGUUAUAACAUUUUAUAGACAACUUGUUGACUAUGAUUUGUCUUGUAGCUUACUCGCUUAUGUUAUUUUACCUACGCUUAGGAUGUUGAAGUCAUCGUAUCGCGC
RNAcentral lists this ribosomal RNA (776 nucleotides) under uncultured Neocallimastigales. RNAcentral's name for it is "partial large subunit ribosomal RNA". It matches the Rfam family "Eukaryotic large subunit ribosomal RNA", at positions 24 to 645 of the family's 3401-position model. Lineage: Eukaryota; Fungi; Neocallimastigomycota; Neocallimastigomycetes; Neocallimastigales. The record is from RNAcentral.